RNAcentral lists this ribosomal RNA (221 nucleotides) under Clostridioides difficile. RNAcentral describes it as "partial 23S ribosomal RNA". It matches the Rfam family "Bacterial large subunit ribosomal RNA", at positions 1373 to 1589 of the family's 2925-position model. The record is from RNAcentral. Lineage: Bacteria; Bacillati; Bacillota; Clostridia; Peptostreptococcales; Peptostreptococcaceae.
CCCUGGGUUAGUCGGGACCUAAGCUGAGGCCGAAAGGCGUAGGUGAUGGACAACAGGUUGAUAUUCCUGUACUACCGAUAACCGUUUGAGAGAAGGGAUGACACAGUAGGAUAAGCUAAGCACACUGGUGGUUAUGUGUGCCCAAGCAUUGAGGCAGUCAAAGUAGGCAAAUCCGCUUUGAUAAUGCUGGGAUGUGAUGGGGAGCGAAAUUUAGUAGCGAA